Cyprinodon tularosa is the source of this 365-nucleotide long non-coding RNA. RefSeq lists it as uncharacterized. The transcript has 3 exons. The record is from RefSeq and is a predicted model, not a curated record. Lineage: Eukaryota; Metazoa; Chordata; Actinopteri; Cyprinodontiformes; Cyprinodontidae.
GACAUGCCAGCAACAUUUUCUGUUGAGUUAUUCUCAGAGACGUCUAUCACGUCAGAUACUGCUGGUGAAACCUUGGAGGAAUAUUUACCUUUAAACAGGGCCAUCUUCUCCUGGUUCCUGCUGUCUUUUUGAUUCCUGAAGGGAUGAAAUCUGCAGCUUUUCCUGAGAUGACAUGCCAGCAACAUUUUCUGUUGAGUUAUUCUCAGAGACGUCUAUCACGUCUGAUACUGCUGGUGAAACCUUGGAGGAAUAUUUACCUUUAAACAGAGCCGUUGAACUUCAAGAUCAAUCAAUACACUUGGAUGCUGUGGUUCAGUUUCUGUUUGCUGGUGUUUUGAGUCUUCAGAGGAAUAACUUUGCUUUCC